RNAcentral lists this ribosomal RNA (468 nucleotides) under uncultured bacterium. Its description in RNAcentral is "partial 16S ribosomal RNA". It matches the Rfam family "Bacterial small subunit ribosomal RNA", at positions 28 to 507 of the family's 1533-position model. The record is from RNAcentral.
GACGAACGCUGGCGGCGUGCUUAACGCAUGCAAGUCGAACGGAAAGGCCCUGCUUUUGUGGGGUGCUCGAGUGGCGAACGGGUGAGUAACACGUGAGUAACCUGCCCUUGACUUUGGGAUAACUUCAGGAAACUGGGGCUAAUACCGGAUAGGAUCUCCUGCUGCAUGGUGGGGGUUGGAAAGUUUCGGCGGUUGGGGAUGGACUCGCGGCUUAUCAGCUUGUUGGUGGGGUAGUGGCUUACCAAGGCUUUGACGGGUAGCCGGCCUGAGAGGGUGACCGGCGACAUUGGGACUGAGAUACGGCGCAGACUCCUACGGGAGGCAGCGGUGGGGAAUAUUGCACAAUGGGCGGAAGCCUGAUGCAGAAACGCCGCGUGCGGGAUGACGGCCUUCGGGUUGUAAACCGCUUUCGCCUGUGACGAAGCGUGAGUGACGGUAAUGGGUAAAGAAGCACCGGCUAACUACGUG